RNAcentral lists this ribosomal RNA (406 nucleotides) under uncultured bacterium. RNAcentral describes it as "partial 16S ribosomal RNA". It matches the Rfam family "Bacterial small subunit ribosomal RNA", at positions 30 to 526 of the family's 1533-position model. The record is from RNAcentral.
AUUGAACGCUGGCGGCAGGCCUAACACAUGCAAGUCGAGCGAGCGGCGGACGGGUGAGUAAUGUCUGGGAAACUGCCUGAUGGAGGGGGCUAACUACUGGAAACGGUAGCUAAUACCGCGUACCCUUCGAUGUGCCCAGGUGGGGUUAGCUAGUAGGUGGGGUAACGGCUAACCUAGUCGACGAUCCCUAGCUGGUCUGAGAGGAUGACCAGCCACACUGGAACUGAGACACGGUCCAGACUCCUACGGGAGGCAGCAGUGGGGAAUAUUGGACAAUGGGCGCAAGCCUGAUGCAGCCAUGCCGCGUGUGUGAAGAAGGCCUUCGGGUUGUAAAGCACUUUCAGCGGGGAGGCGUUACCCGCAGAAUAAGCACCGGCUAACUCCGUGCCAGCAGCCGCGGUAAUAC